RNAcentral lists this unclassified non-coding RNA (300 nucleotides) under uncultured fungus. RNAcentral describes it as "sequence contains 5.8S rRNA gene, ITS2". The stretch from base 1 to 71 matches the Rfam family "5.8S ribosomal RNA", at positions 84 to 154 of the family's 154-position model. Lineage: Eukaryota; Fungi. The record is from RNAcentral.
GUGAGUCAUCGAAUCUUUGAACGCAAAUUGCGCCCGAGGCUUCGGCCAAAGGCAUGUCUGCCUCAGCGUCGGCUUCACCCCUCCCCUCCCUUUCUCUUUUUCGGGAGAGAACAGGCGAGGGGGACCUGGUUGUCCCGGUCCCUCACGGGUCCGGGUCCGCCGAAGCACAGAGGCUCGAGCAGGACCCCGUUUACAAGGGCAACAGUCUGGUAGGCGACCUCCCCGGUCGCAUGCCGCUGGUGCCUGGGGCGCCUGCUGGUCGAGCCCGCAGGAAGUGGCUGCUUGCCACGCCUUCACCCC